GUUUUACUGACCAUAGAGUUUAAAGUGUGAAGACAGAACAAAAGGAUAACAACUAAGGCAACAUGAAGACAAUUAGAAAUACGUAUGGAUGCCCACCUCCAGUUUACUGAUGCCAUUUGUUGCAGAUGUAGCACAUUGAAGACAAGGUAACAUCACCAUACCAUAAAUGUAAGGCAUGUUCCAGGUAAUAUAGGUGGACAAGCUGAGAAAAACUCAGCACAAAUUUUGUAUUUGGGCUGGCUGGCCAUUCCUUUCCUGAAUUCAUUUUGGCAUGAAAGUCAACAUAGUGAUAAUCUAGGAAGCCAAUAUACACAGAUGGCUGGUCUGCAGCAUGACCUGGAAGAUGGCCUACUGGGACACACAGUAGAGAUCAAGCUCUUUCUGCCAGAAAAUGUUCUAGUUGUCCGUUGCUGGAGUUGA
This 420-nucleotide long non-coding RNA is filed under the name Anser brachyrhynchus (Pink-footed goose). RNAcentral describes it as "lncRNA (ENSABRG00000012995.1)". Lineage: Eukaryota; Metazoa; Chordata; Aves; Anseriformes; Anatidae. The record is from RNAcentral.